GAUGAACGCUAGCUACAGGCUUAACACAUGCAAGUCGAGGGGCAGCAUGGUCUUAGCUUGCUAAGGCCGAUGGCGACCGGCGCACGGGUGAGUAACACGUAUCCAACCUGCCGUCUACUCUUGGACAGCCUUCUGAAAGGAAGAUUAAUACAAGAUGGCAUCAUGAGUCCACAUGUUCACAUGAUUAAAGGUAUUCCGGUAGACGAUGGGGAUGCGUUCCAUUAGAUAGUAGGCGGGGUAACGGCCCACCUAGCCGACGAUGGAUAGGGGCUCUGAGAGGAAGGUCCCCCCACAUUGGAACUGAGACACGGUCCAAACUCCUACGGGAGGCAGCAGUGAGGAAUAUUGGUCAAUGGACGAGAGUCUGAACCAGCCAAGUAGCGUGCAGGAUGACGGCCCUAUGGGUUGUAAACUGCUUUUAUAAGGGAAUAAAGUGAGUCUCGUGAGACUUUUUGCAUGUACCUUAUGAAUAA
This 473-nucleotide ribosomal RNA is filed under the name uncultured bacterium. RNAcentral's name for it is "bacterial SSU rRNA". It matches the Rfam family "Bacterial small subunit ribosomal RNA", at positions 28 to 489 of the family's 1533-position model. The record is from RNAcentral.